This 610-nucleotide long non-coding RNA is filed under the name Anas platyrhynchos platyrhynchos (common mallard). Its description in RNAcentral is "lncRNA (ENSAPLG00000028835.1)". Lineage: Eukaryota; Metazoa; Chordata; Aves; Anseriformes; Anatidae. The record is from RNAcentral.
AUGGGUGGGUUGAGUUGGGUUGGGGUGUGUUGGAUUGGGAUGGAAUGGGACGGGUGGGUUGGGUUGCGUUGGGAUGGGAUGGCUUGGAUUGGGAUGGGAUGGGUGGAUUUUGUUGGGUUGGGUUUUGUUGGAUUGGGAAUUGGGAUGGGAUGGGAGGAUUAGGUUGAGUUGGGAUGGGAUGGCUUGGAUUGGGAUGGGAUGAAUAUCAUGGAGCGGGACAGGAUGGGAUGGGGAUUCACACAAGGAAGGAGAUGGGGUUUGGAUGGGAAUGGGGAUUCAGAUAGGGGUUGUGGGUAGGGAUAAGGAAGGGAUUGGAGUUGGGGAUGGGGAUGGGGACGGGGACAUGGAAAGGGAUGGGUCAUGGGGUGGGUGCUCACCCCCCUCUCCCCUAGGUGCGUCCGGGCCAGUUUCACCGGCGGCUGUGGCGCUCCACGCGCCGCAUCUCGCAGGUUUCGGCUGGCGAGACGGAGUACAACCCCAACGAGGGCAGGUCCUAGGCUGCCACCCCACACCCGGCCCCGCUGGGCUUCCCGCAGCUCCCGGCCCCUCCUGGGGGGCACGGCGAUAAAGGGGGGGACCCCGUGACCCCCCCACAUCAGCGCCCCGAGCC